RNAcentral lists this unclassified non-coding RNA (656 nucleotides) under Hevea brasiliensis (rubber tree). The record is from RNAcentral. Lineage: Eukaryota; Viridiplantae; Streptophyta; Magnoliopsida; Malpighiales; Euphorbiaceae.
UUUAGCAAUGGUUGGUCCUAGCCCAAGUAAACUCAUCUUACUCGUCAUGGACUCUUGCGUUGGCCCACUCACUCAUCUCCGCCUGUUCAGCUUAAGUUUGUAAUAGGAAUAAAGAAGGUUCUCAAGGGAAGGUAUUGUCACAUAUAAGAGAAGUAUAAGGAAUAAAGGAGGAGGUAAUGCUGAGAAGGUUAGUUGAAGAGCUGCAGAAGAAGACUAAUUGAAGAAUUGCAAUAGAAGGCUAAGAGUAAUGUUGAUUGAAAUAGUUGGCUGAGGAAAUUGGAAGAGAGUAGGUUCGAGAAUAGGGCUAUUUUGGAGGUAAAUGAGUAUGUUAUGUGUAGUGAACUGGAAUAACUGAUAGGUAGUUAGCAAGUCAAAGGCAGUGACAAGAAUAGGAAAUAUAAGUAGAACUAUACCUGUAUAACUGAUAAUCUUGGAUUCAAUAAAGAACUUCUGUCUCUCUUCAGUUUUCCCUCUCUAAUUCUCUCUCUCUUAACUUCUUUCUUGAUUCUUUCUGCCAUUCCUAUCUUCUUUUCUUCUAUUUAUUGAAGGCAGAACCCUGAUUUUAGGGUUUCUGCUGACAAUUUAUUAUUUAUUUAGUUGAAAUUUUUUAAUUCUCACAUAGAUUGUGAUGCGUGUCUAAUGUUGAUUGGUGUUGU